AGUGAACGCUGGCGGUAGGCCUAACACAUGCAAGUCGAACGGCAGCACAGUAAGAGCUUGCUCUUACGGGUGGCGAGUGGCGGACGGGUGAGGAAUACAUCGGAAUCUACUUUUUCGUGGGGGAUAACGUAGGGAAACUUACGCUAAUACCGCAUACGACCUACGGGUGAAAGCAGGGGAUCUUCGGACCUUGCGCGAUUGAAUGAGCCGAUGUCGGAUUAGCUAGUUGGCGGGGUAAAGGCCAACCAAGGCGACGAUCCGUAGCUGGUCUGAGAGGAUGUUCGGCAACACGGAAACUGAGAAAGGGCCAAGCCCCCUAGGGGAGCCAGCAGGGGGAAAUAUGGACAAAGGGGCGCAAGCCUGACCCAGCCAUCCCGCGUGGGUGAAGAGGGCCUUCGGGUGGUAAACCCCUUUUGUUGGGAAGAAAAGCAGCAGGUUAAUACCCCGCUGUUCUGACGGUACCCAAAGAAUAAGCACCGGCUAACUUCGUG
This 491-nucleotide ribosomal RNA is filed under the name uncultured bacterium. Its description in RNAcentral is "partial 16S ribosomal RNA". It matches the Rfam family "Bacterial small subunit ribosomal RNA", at positions 29 to 507 of the family's 1533-position model. The record is from RNAcentral.